RNAcentral lists this ribosomal RNA (235 nucleotides) under uncultured bacterium. RNAcentral's name for it is "partial 16S ribosomal RNA". It matches the Rfam family "Bacterial small subunit ribosomal RNA", at positions 99 to 334 of the family's 1533-position model. The record is from RNAcentral.
CGCACGGGUGAGUAACACGUAUCCAACCUGCCGUCUACUCUUGGACAGCCUUCUGAAAGGAAGAUUAAUACAAGAUGGCAUCAUGAGUUCACAUGUUCACAUGAUUAAAGGUAUUCCGGUAGACGAUGGGGAUGCGUUCCAUUAGAUAGUAGGUGGGGUAACGGCCCACCCAGUCUUCGAUGGAUAGGGGUUCUGAGAGGAAGGUCCCCCACAUUGGAACUGAGACACGGUCCAA